RNAcentral lists this ribosomal RNA (252 nucleotides) under uncultured Bacteroidales bacterium. RNAcentral describes it as "partial 16S ribosomal RNA". It matches the Rfam family "Bacterial small subunit ribosomal RNA", at positions 524 to 776 of the family's 1533-position model. The record is from RNAcentral. Lineage: Bacteria; Pseudomonadati; Bacteroidota; Bacteroidia; Bacteroidales.
UACGUAGGGGGCAAGCGUUAUCCGGAUAUACUGGGUGUAAAGGGAGCGUAGACGGUGAUGCAAGUCAGAAGUGAAAGCCCGGGGCUCAACCCCGUCGUGCCGUUGAAACUGACACCCUUGAGUGAGUGAGAAGUAAGCGGAAUGCGUGGUGUAGCGGUGAAAUGCAUAGAUAUCACGCAGAACGCCGAUUGCGAAGGCAGCUUACCGGCGCUCAACUGACGCUGAGGCACGAAAGUGCGGGUAUCGAACAGG